Long non-coding RNA from Mustela lutreola (European mink), 605 nucleotides. RefSeq lists it as uncharacterized. Lineage: Eukaryota; Metazoa; Chordata; Mammalia; Carnivora; Mustelidae. The transcript has 3 exons. The record is from RefSeq and is a predicted model, not a curated record.
UUCAAGGGGUGAAUUGAGACACAUGCCAUGUCUCAAUGAGAGGAGUUUCCAGGAAAUUGUAGAUGUGUUUUAAAACCAUCACAGUAAGGAUACAGAGCUUGCUAGGUGUCUGAUUAUGUUCCAUCUUUACCUUCUUAGUAUCAGAAUCUCUGUGUUGUUAGUUAACUCAAGAUUUUUUAAGCCUACAUUUCUCCUCCCUUGGAGAAGUCAUGAGAAGAGACCUUCAGAUUUUAUUUUUAAGUAAUCUCUACAUCCAACUUACAACCUCAAGAUCAAGAGUGACACCCUCUACCAACUCUAACUAGGCACCCCAAUAACAACUACCUGCUGAGCACUAACAGAUACCGUGUUAAAAGCUUGAACAUUCCUAACGAUACUAUGAGGCAGGAACUACCAUGAUCCCCAUUUCCAGUCUCUCAUCUCAGUCCCAUGUUGAAGUGGAAGACAUGAAUUGCCAGCUGUCUUCAGGAUACCUUAACCUGAUGGUGUCUGGCCCUUCAAGCUCAGUAGGACCAAACUCAUCAUCAUCUCUUGUUCUCAUUACUAUCGAUGGCAUGAAUUUCAGAUUCCUCUUCAGCUUCCCCCACCCGCAGUUUGAAGUGGCC